ACCAUCCCCCGGCCCCGGGCCCUGGCCGGCGUCAGACCGAGCUGCCGCCGCCACCACCGCAGCAGCAGCAGUCGGGGAGCCAGGCCCAGCCAGGGCCGCGGGAGGCGGGGGCGCCCGGGCCCUGGAUGUCCCGCAGCGCGGCGGCCAGCGGCGGACCCCGGAGGCCUGAGCGGCACCUGCCCCCAGCCCCCUGUGGGGCCCCGGGGCCCCCAGAAACCUGCAGGACGGAGCCAGACGGGGCGGGCACCAUGAACAAGUUACGGCAGAGCCUGCGGCGGAGGAAGCCAGCCUACGUGCCCGAGGCGUCGCGCCCGCACCAGUGGCAGGCAGACGAGGACGCGGUGCGGAAGGGCACGUGCAGCUUCCCGGUCAGGAUGCUCAGUGGACACUGAG
RNAcentral lists this non-coding RNA (393 nucleotides) under Pan troglodytes (chimpanzee). The record is from RNAcentral. RNAcentral also lists the same sequence under 1 other name. Lineage: Eukaryota; Metazoa; Chordata; Mammalia; Primates; Hominidae.